GGCUGGGUAGCUCAGUUGGUUAGAGCGUGGUUCUGAUAAUGCCAAGGUUGUGGGUUCGAUCCCCAAUCAGGGCA
Molecule: non-coding RNA, 74 nt
Organism: Molossus molossus (Pallas's mastiff bat)
Lineage: Eukaryota; Metazoa; Chordata; Mammalia; Chiroptera; Molossidae
Source: the annotation of a RefSeq genome assembly